AGUUUGAUCAUGGCUCAGGACGAACGCUGGCGGCGUGCUUAACACAUGCAAGUCGAACGGUGACGAUCAAGCUUGCUUGGUCUGAUCAGUGGCGAACGGGUGAGUAACACGUGAGUAACCUGCCCCAGACUCUGGGAUAACCCCGGGAAACCGGAGCUAAUACCGGAUAUGACACCAAUCCGCAUGGGUAUGGUGUGGAAAGUUUUUCGGUCUGGGAUGGACUCGCGGCCUAUCAGCUUGUUGGUGAGGUAGUGGCUCACCAAGGCGACGACGGGUAGCCGGCCUGAGAGGGCGACCGGCCACACUGGGACUGAGACACGGCCCAGACUCCUACGGGAGGCAGCAGUGGGGAAUAUUGCACAAUGGGCGCAAGCCUGAUGCAGCGACGCCGCGUGAGGGAUGACGGCCUUCGGGUUGUAAACCUCUUUCAGCAGGGAAGAAGCGAAAGUGACGGUACCUGCAGAAGAAGCACCGGCUAACUACGUGCCAGCAGCCGCGGUAAUACGUAGGGUGCGAGCGUUGUCCGGAAUUAUUGGGCGUAAAGAGCUUGUAGGUGGUUUGUCGCGUCUGCUGUGAAAAUCCGAGGCUCAACCUCGGACUUGCAGUGGGUACGGGCAGACUAGAGUGUGGUAGGGGAGACUGGAAUUCCUGGUGUAGCGGUGGAAUGCGCAGAUAUCA
This 678-nucleotide ribosomal RNA is filed under the name uncultured bacterium. RNAcentral's name for it is "bacterial SSU rRNA". It matches the Rfam family "Bacterial small subunit ribosomal RNA", at positions 10 to 699 of the family's 1533-position model. The record is from RNAcentral.